RNAcentral lists this long non-coding RNA (1336 nucleotides) under Homo sapiens (human). RNAcentral's name for it is "non-protein coding lnc-EFNB2-6:2". Lineage: Eukaryota; Metazoa; Chordata; Mammalia; Primates; Hominidae. The record is from RNAcentral.
CCUUGUAUGUUGUUUCUUUAUAAAUGGUUGAGCUGCUGAUGCAGGUAUUGCCAAGCUAACAGUACAAAUCAUUUUAAAGAGGAAGCUGGCGCGUAUGGCAGCCGAGGAGCACACUCUGCAGGACACUGGACAAGACAGUAAAUAUUCAACUUUUAAUGCUGAUUAAAGGAGUAUAGGUAAAGAAUACGUAGGUAUACAUAAUUGGUGAGACAAAUAUUCACUUUAUUUAUAUUUUAUAUAUUAUUUUUUUAAUUUGGUAAAUACUAUCCAGUUUUGUAGUUGUCCUUGUUGAUUUGUGUGAUAUUAAAGUAUUAGUAAUAAUUGCCAGGAAACUAUCAUUAGGGAGGGUUUAGUUGGUUGCUGUUUGGACUGGGAGGGAUGAUUUAAAUUUAGUGCUAGAAACCAAUUUUAGUGACUGCACAGUUUAUCAUUUGUCAGACAGAAGGUAGCUAUAAAGCUACCCUGUAAGUCAUAUCAAAAAAGUUCAGAGGAAGAUUAGUAAAUAUUUAUCAAUAAAAAUAAACAUUUUGUUUUUCUAAUAUCUUAACAUAUCCUCCCCUUUAGGAGGAAGAACGUGCAAAACGUGAGGAGCUAGAGCGAAUACUGGAAGAGAAUAACCGAAAAAUUGCAGAAGCACAAGCCAAACUGGCCGAAGAACAGUUGAGAAUUGUUGAAGAACAAAGAAAGAUUCAUGAGGAAAGGAUGAAACUAGAACAAGAACGACAACGUCAACAAAAAGAAGAACAAAAAAUUAUCCUGGGCAAGGGGAAGUCCAGGCCAAAACUGUCCUUCUCAUUAAAAACCCAGGAUUAAAUUGCAAACUCUGAACUUUUUACAAAGAAAAAUGGAAAAACUUUGUAUGGUAGCUUCAUGUUGAAGUGGUUUUUUGUUUUUGUUUUUGUUUUUUUAAUUUGUAAAAUCUGGAAAGUUAGCUUGUUCUAAUAGGGGCUAUGCUCUGCAAUUCCCUUUUUUUUUUUUUUUUUCCUUCCACUAAGUCAAAUCCUUAUCAGAUCAUUGUUGUAUUCUAAGGAGUGACGUAUUUUUCACCUGUUUGGAUUCUAUAUUAGUGGUCUGAGGAAGAGCAGAUCACAUUGUAAAACUAUGGAUGGUCUGAUAAGGCUUUUACUGACCCCACUGACUUCAGAGUUAUACUCUGUUUGCUACAUCAUAAUGCUGGUUUUGCUGACUUUUUGUUUUUUUAUAUAUUUAUAAAAAAAGAAAAAGUUGGUGAUUGCAUUGGGAAAUUCCCAGGGUAUUACUGGACCUAUGUGGUGUAUUGUUAAACCAGUGUCCUUGUGAUACUGUUGCUCUUGAUGUUCCUGAUACAGGUAAGGAA